Molecule: non-coding RNA, 33 nt
Filed under: Prorocentrum micans
Lineage: Eukaryota; Dinophyceae; Prorocentrales; Prorocentraceae
Source: RNAcentral
UUUUUUUUUUUUUUUUUUUUUUUUUUUUUUCCG